CCCUUCAGAAAGAAAAGUUGCUCCGAGGGAAACUCCGAAGAUGGGCCCACAUCUAAGCCCAAGAAGAGUCAAGCUGGCCUGUCCCCCAUAUCCAGGAAGACUUUGUCCUCAAAGAACAAUGAGAACACCAGCAAACAGUCCAAGCGCUCUACCCAGGGGUUACCUGUCCUCAAGUACUCUGGGCAGGGCUCCAGACUCUCUGCUUCUUCUGCUUCCCAGUCAAUUGCUGACUCCCUCCUGACUGCUGUGAGCCCAUGACUGGUCCUACACAGGAGCACUCAGCUACCUCAAGGGAACCAGCCUGCUGACCAGCCUGAGCCUCUACUCCCGCCUCCACUUUGCCCCUCAUCAGAGUAUUUUUGAAGUGGUUCUAUUGUAGAUAUGGGCAUCUGGAGGGCUGGAGGGGUGGUGGUGAUGGGGAGAAGGUGAGGAAGGUUCACCCUCUGUCACCUUACUGCCUGGUUGGGCUGGCACCUCAUAUCUCAGUAGAGAAGCCAGUGACAGCCAAGCAGCCUUAUAAAGCAGGGUUUGGUUUCU
This 537-nucleotide long non-coding RNA is filed under the name Rattus norvegicus (Norway rat). Its description in RNAcentral is "long non-coding RNA NONRATT029516". Lineage: Eukaryota; Metazoa; Chordata; Mammalia; Rodentia; Muridae. The record is from RNAcentral.